GUGUCUGAGUGUAUAACAGAGCUCCACAGCAAUAAUACUCCCAGUAAUGUGUCUGUGUGUGUAACAGAUCUCCACAGUAAUAAUACUCCCAGUAAUGUGUCUGAGUGUAUAACAGAGCUCCACAGUAAUAAUAUUCCCAGUAAUGUGUCUGAGUGUAUAACAGAGCUCCACAGUAAUAAUACUCCCAGUAAUGUGUCUGAGUGUAUAACAGAGCUCCACAGCAAUAAUACUCCCAGUAAU
Non-coding RNA from Pelobates cultripes (western spadefoot toad), 240 nucleotides. Lineage: Eukaryota; Metazoa; Chordata; Amphibia; Anura; Pelobatidae. The record is from the annotation of a GenBank genome assembly.